Molecule: ribosomal RNA, 19 nt
Filed under: Kinia privernensis
Lineage: Eukaryota; Fungi; Basidiomycota; Agaricomycetes; Agaricales; Tricholomataceae
Description: partial 28S ribosomal RNA
Source: RNAcentral
UUGACAACUAUACAUUUAA